RNAcentral lists this long non-coding RNA (3352 nucleotides) under Oncorhynchus mykiss (rainbow trout). RNAcentral describes it as "lncRNA (ENSOMYG00000069712.1)". The record is from RNAcentral. Lineage: Eukaryota; Metazoa; Chordata; Actinopteri; Salmoniformes; Salmonidae.
UGCUGAAUCUCUGAUAGCCGUUGUCCGUGGUGCUGAAUCUCUGAUUGCCAUUGAUAUUAGCUAGUUUCUUUACUUUAGCGCCUUUCCAAGAUGGCUGCCAGUCCAAUAUGGCUGCCAAUGAACAGAUUGGGUUACAGAUUGCUACUGUUAUUUCCCACUUUCAAGUGUUGUAAGUCUACAGUUAAAAGAAACAGAAGCCUCCAUUACUCCGUGCUCUUCCUGGCAAGUCACUAUACACGUCUGCUAUAUGUGCUGUAAUACUGAGUGAAUCAUCUCUUUCUCAUCCAACAGGCAUAUUUCUCUCUAGACUGCAUCCUGUCACUAAAGACAGAUACAUGUAUCAAACACAGGCAUGCAUGCAGAUGAGUGUCAUUCUAUAAAGCUAUAGAUGGUUUAAACAGACAGAAUCUGUGUCAUAAUGAUAGUCCUGCGUUAUAUCUGGCUCUACUGUCCCUCUGCUGUCACUAUGGAUCAGUGUUUCUGCUGCUGUCUGACACAGAUACACACACACACACUCAUACACACGUACGCAGGCACAUACAAAAAACACACAAAUAGGAGUCCAGAUUAAAAACAGGCUGUUUAUGCCACGGGCCUCAGCUCUUUCCAGCCUGCUGGUAACAGGCUGCCACCUUGAUGGAUGUGAGAGCAGUGUGUGUCCAGCCCCCUGUAGUGCCAUAAUGAGUCAGAUCCAGCAGACAGACAGACGAACCGACCCUGGGGAAGGAACGGUUGAACAGAGGCUUGACAGAAGGAAAGGUGUUUCCUGUGUGUAGCAGAGAGAGAACCAAUCAUUAUGGUAAUGCCUCAGACACCUAUCAGAUGGGCUUUCCUGCUGCUUCAUGGGAAUAAGCUACUAAUAUCUUAUUCUGACAUUGGAGGUGUGUAUAAGGCCUGUGUGUGUGUAGUGUGUGUUUGUGUGUGCAUGCGUCCAUCCAUGCAUUCUUGUGUGUGUGUGUGUGUGUGUGUGUUGUAUGAAUCAUAAGGAUAACAUUUUUGAAUUAUAUAGACAGAAAAGCAUCGUUGUGUGUGUGUGAUUACAGAGAGAAAAGUAGCAUUGUGUGUGUGUGUGUGUGUGUGUGUGUGAUUACAGAGAGAAAGCAGCAUUGUGUGUGUGUGUGUGUGUGUGUGAUUACAGAGAGAAAAGCAGUGUGUGGAGACCGCUGCAGUCUUCAGAGGCUGCACAGCUCAGAGCUGAUGGUGACAGGAGAGACGAAUACUGAAUCGAUUAGACAUUUAUAUUAUCAAAACACAAACUUUACACAUAUAAAUAAUCAAAACUUUGAAACUUGAGAUUUUUUCACAAUUUCAGUGACAGCUUGCAGCCAUUUUAACUCUCUCUUUCUCCCUCUCUGCACCUCUCAUUUUGAAGCCAAUACUGCAGCUCUGGGGACUCAUUUCUGAGUGCUUAUACAACAUUUAAUGUAGUCUACAGUCAGUUCCUAAAAUGUGAGCAGGAUCAAUACAUGAAAUGUCUCUAUGCAUUUACACUGGGUGAACAGAACAUAAAGAACACCUGCUCUUUCCAUGACAGACUGACCAGGUGAAUCCAGGUGAAAGCUAUGAUGAUCCCUUAUGGAUGUCACCUGUUAAAUUCUCUUCAAUCAGUGUAGAUGAAGGGGAGGAGACAGGUUAAAGAAGGAUUUUUAAACCUUGAGACAAUUGAGACUAGAGGUCGACCGAUUAAUCGGAAUGGCCGAUUAAUAACAAUCGGAAAUCGGUAUUUUUGGACACCGAUAUGCCCAUUUUUUUUUUUUUUAACACCUUUUAUUUAAUCUUUAUUUAACUUGGCAAGUCAGUUAAGAACACAUUCUUAUUUUCAAUGACGGCCUAGAAACGGUGGGUUAACUGCCUCGUUCAGGGGCAGAACGACAGAUUUUCACCUUGUCAGCUCGGGGGAACCAAUCUUGCAACCUUACAGUUAACUAGUCCAACGCAAUAACGACCUGCCUCUCUCUCGUUGCACUCCACAAGGAGACUGCCUGUUACGCAAAUGCAGUAAGCCAAGGUAAGUUGCUAGCUAGCAUUAAACUUAUCUUAUAAAAAACAAUCUAUCAUAAUCACUAGUUAACUACACAUGGUUGAUGAUAUUACUGGAUAUUAUCUAGCGUGUCCUGCGUUUCAUAUAAUCUGACUGAGCAUACAAGCAUACAAGUAUCUGACUGAGCGGUGGUAGGCAGAAGCAGGCUCGUUAUCAUUCAUUCAAACAGCACUCUUGUGCGUUUUGCCAGCAGCUCUUCGUUGUGCUUCAAGCAUUGCGCUGUUUAUGACUUCAAGCCUAUCAACUCCCGAGAUGAGGCUGGUGUAACCGAAGUGAAAUGGCUGGCUAGUUAGCGCGCGCUAAUAGCAUUUCCAACUUCACUCGCUCUGAGCCUUGGGGUGGUUGUUUCCCUUGCUCUGCAUGGGUAACUCUGCUUCGAUGUGGUGGCUGUUGUCGUUGUGUUGCUGGUUCGAGCCCAGGGAGGAGCGAGGAGAGGGACGGAAGCUAUACUGUUACACUGGCAAUACUAAAGUGCCUAUAAGAACAUCCAAUAGUCAACGGUUAAUUAAAUACAAAUGGUAUAGAGGGAAAUAGUCCUAUAAUUCCUAUAAUAACUACAACCUAAAACUUCAUACCUGGGAAUAUUGAAGACUCAUGUUAAAAGGAACCACCAGCUUUCAUAUGUUCUCAUGUUCUGAGCAAGGAACUGAAACGUUAGCUUUUUUACAUGGCACAUAUUGCACUUUUACUUUCUUCUCCAACACUUUGUUUUUGCAUUAUUUAAACCAAAUUGAACAUGUUUCAUUAUUUAUUUGAGGCUAAAUUGAUUGUAUUGAUGUAUUAUAUUAAGUUAAAAUAAGUGUUCAUUCAGUAUUGUUGUAAUUGUCAUUAUUACAAAUACAUAAAAAAAAAUAACAAAAUAAAAAAUUUAAAAAAACGUCAGAUUAAAUCGGUAUUGGCUUUUUUGGUCCUCCAAUAAUCGGUAUCGGCGUUGAAAAAUCAUAAUCGGUCGACCUCUAAUUGAGACAUGGAUUGUGUGAGUGUCAUUCAGAAGGUGAAUGGGCAAGACAAAAUACUUAAGUGACUUUGAACUGGGUUGCCAGGCGCACCAGUUUGUGUCAAGAGCUGCAAAGCUAGGGCUGUAUAAAAAACGUACGUGAUCGGGAGUCCCAUUAGGCGGCACACAAUUGGUCCAGCGUCAUCCGGGUUAGAGGAGGGAUUGGCCGAGGGGGCUUUACUUUAUUCAUUGCGCUCUAGCGACUCCUUGUAGCAGGCCGAGGCACCUGCAGGCUGACCUCGCUUUUCACUUGAAUGGCGUUUCCUCCGACACAUUGGAGAGGCUGGCUCCCGGGUUAACCGGGCGAGUGUUGA